CAACCCAUUGUGACCUUACCUAUGUUCUGUUGCCUCGGCGGCGUCGGUCAGCGCCCCUCUGAGAAGAGGACGAUGCCCCUCCCGCCGGCAGCACCAAACUCUUGAAUUUUACAGCGGAUUACAGUUCUGAUUUGAAAACAAAAAACAAGUUAAAACUUUCAACAACGGAUCUCUUGGUUCUGGCAUCGAUGAAGAACGCAGCGAAAUGCGAUAAGUAAUGUGAAUUGCAGAAUUCAGUGAAUCAUCGAAUCUUUGAACGCACAUUGCGCCCGGCAGUAAUCUGCCGGGCAUGCCUGUCCGAGCGUCAUUUCAACCCUCGAACCUCCGUUUCCUCAGGGAAGCCCAGGGUCGGUGUUGGGGCGCUACGGCGAGUCCUCGCGACCCCCGUAGGCCCUGAAAUACAGUGGCGGUCCCGCCGCGGUUGCCUUCUGCGUAGUAAGUCUCUUUUGCAAGCUCGCAUUGGGUCCCGGCGGAGGCCUGCCGUCAAACCACCUAACAACUCCAGAUGGUUUGACCUCGGAUCAGGUAGGGUUACCCGCUGAACUUAAGCAUAUCAAUAAGCGGAGGAAA
Molecule: ribosomal RNA, 570 nt
Filed under: Scedosporium apiospermum
Lineage: Eukaryota; Fungi; Ascomycota; Sordariomycetes; Microascales; Microascaceae
Description: eukaryotic LSU rRNA
Rfam family: 5.8S ribosomal RNA (bases 154-307)
Source: RNAcentral